AAGUACCCCGAGGAAAAGAAAUCAACCGAGAUUCCCCCAGUAGCGGCGAGCGAACGGGGAGGAGCCCAGAGCCUGAAUCAGUGUGUGUGUUAGUGGAAGCGUCUGGAAAGGCGUGCGAUACAGGGUGACAGCCCCGUACACAAAAAUGCACAUAUUGUGAGCUCGAUGAGUAGGGCGGGACACGUGGUAUCCUGUCUGAAUAUGGGGGGACCAUCCUCCAAGGCUAAAUACUCCUGACUGACCGAUAGUGAACCAGUACCGUGAGGGAAAGGCGAAAAGAACCCCGGCGAGGGGAGUGAAAAAGAACCUGAAACCGUGUACGUACAAGCAGUGGGAGCCUCUUAAUGGGGUGACUGCGUACCUUUUGUAUAAUGGGUCAGCGACUUAUAUUCUGUAGCAAGGUUAACCGAAUAGGGGAGCCGAAGGGAAACCGAGUCUUAACUGGGCGUUAAGUUGCAGGGUAUAGACCCGAAACCCGGUGAUCUAGCCAUGGGCAGGUUGAAGGUUGGGUAACACUAACUGGAGGACCGAACCGACUAAUGUUGAAAAAUUAGCGGAUGACUUGUGGCUGGGGGUGAAAGGCCAAUCAAACCGGGAGAUAGCUGGUUCUCCCCGAAAGCUAUUUAGGUAGCGCCUCGUGAAUUCAUCUCCGGGGGUAGAGCACUGUUUCGGCAAGGGGGUCAUCCCGACUUACCAACCCGAUGCAAACUGCGAAUACCGGAGAAUGUUAUCACGGGAGACACACGGCGGGUGCUAACGUCCGUCGUGAAGAGGGAAACAACCCAGACCGCCAGCUAAGGUCCCAAAGUCAUGGUUAAGUGGGAAACGAUGUGGGAAGGCCCAGACAGCCAGGAUGUUGGCUUAGAAGCAGCCAUCAUUUAAAGAAAGCGUAAUAGCUCACUGGUCGAGUCGGCCUGCGCGGAAGAUGUAACGGGGCUAAACCAUGCACCGAAGCUGCGGCAGCGACACUAUGUGUUGUUGGGUAGGGGAGCGUUCUGUAAGCCUGUGAAGGUGGCCUGUGAGGGUUGCUGGAGGUAUCAGAAGUGCGAAUGCUGACAUAAGUAACGAUAAAGCGGGUGAAAAGCCCGCUCGCCGGAAGACCAAGGGUUCCUGUCCAACGUUAAUCGGGGCAGGGUGAGUCGACCCCUAAGGCGAGGCCGAAAGGCGUAGUCGAUGGGAAACAGGUUAAUAUUCCUGUACUUGGUGUUACUGCGAAGGGGGGACGGAGAAGGCUAUGUUGGCCGGGCGACGGUUGUCCCGGUUUAAGCGUGUAGGCUGGUUUUCCAGGCAAAUCCGGAAAACCAAGGCUGAGGCGUGAUGA
This 1321-nucleotide ribosomal RNA is filed under the name Escherichia coli. RNAcentral's name for it is "partial 23S ribosomal RNA". It matches the Rfam family "Bacterial large subunit ribosomal RNA", at positions 204 to 1569 of the family's 2925-position model. The record is from RNAcentral. Lineage: Bacteria; Pseudomonadati; Pseudomonadota; Gammaproteobacteria; Enterobacterales; Enterobacteriaceae.